ACUUCCUUGAAGACACCUGCCAUGAACUCUUUCUCCAGCAGCGCUGAGGAGUGCGACAUUCAGGAAAUGGCAAUGCGGCAGUAAGGAAGGAAUCUGUGCCCUUUAAUGACCUAGAGGAGUAGAUCCACUUCGCCACCUGGACCGGCCAGACUAAUGUGGCCCGGACUCUCAGCUGGACUGACAGGCAAAAUAUCUGUGUCCGUGUACGUUAUUCAUCUGUCACUGGGUCAAGGUCUCCGGGACAGACCCCCUACAGCUGGCGCUCCGUGUGAGGAAUGCUGCGAAGGAUCACGACGGACCCCCCAAAAUGAAGGUGAAAAGGACCGCAGAGUCAGUGAGUCAGAUACAAAGCUGGAAUAAGAGGAAUGACCACUUCGUCUGACAGACCUGUUGCUGCACACAUCUGUACCCUUCGGUCAACAGAACCCGAUGCAAAGAACAGAAAAGGGAGAGAUGUGGGAGUUCAGACAGGCUGGUGGCGUGUCCAGAAUUUAUUCCUUCCGGCCUAUAUCACCCAAACCUGAAAAGGGAAAGAAGGAUGUGAAGAAAAUAAUAUAGGAGGAAGAAGAAUGAAGAAACAGCGGGCAAGAAAAAGAAGAAGACUAGAAAGAGAAGAUGAAGCAGGAUAAAGUGGAGGAGAAAUAGCUUUACUGAAUGGAAGUAUGUCUGUUACUUCUGCUCUUCCAACAACAACAACAACAACAAAAAGCCCAAGGAUGCUGCUAAAUAUCUUAAAAGGUACAAGCAAAUAGUUAUGAUAGUUUUA
RNAcentral lists this long non-coding RNA (766 nucleotides) under Homo sapiens (human). RNAcentral describes it as "HSALNT0378181". The record is from RNAcentral. Lineage: Eukaryota; Metazoa; Chordata; Mammalia; Primates; Hominidae.